GUUUGGCCAAUGAGACAGCAAGUAGACGGGACUAGGAGUCAAAGAGGAUUCUGGGAAAUGUAGUAGAGAAGUGAUGAUCCAGGCAGGAAGUGACACAGCAAGGAGACUCAUACUUAAGUGAAGGAGAAAGAGGAAGGCCCUCUUUUCCCCUCAGCUCCUGCUCCAGCGGCACGAUGUGAUCCACCAGCAAGGAGGGACGCCAAUAAGGCGUCCGAUAAGAUAAGUCUUAUAACAUAUAUAGAUUUAUGAUAGUUAAGACUGAGCUAACAGAUGAGAAUCCUAGUCAUUGGCCAAGCAGCUUUGUACCUAAUACAAGUUUCUGUGUAUUCAUUUGGGCCCAACUCGGGCAGGCGGCUGUCGUAAAGCUCACACAUGGCGGUGGGGCUCGGCGGCUUUUGGCAGAAAGAUUUAUCGUAACAAGGGCCUUGGACCAUGUGAUGGAAUAUCUCCACUCUCACUGUUUGCAGGCUUCAGAACUGGAGCAAGUUCCCAACCCACUCCACCUCUUUGCGUAUGUGCAGAAUGAACAUAUUUAUCUCCAGAGACUGGGAUAAUAUAAAUAAAGUCCUUGACCUUCAGAAGAUUCCCAUCUUCCACCAACAGGGCUGACCUUAUAAACAUUCUCAUCCGAAGCUUGCCUGAAGUUAGACAUACACUAUCACAGGACACCAGCAUGGACUACAAACACAACUCCAUGCUGUGGUGAAGACUAGAUUCUUGACUGUACCACAGAAAACAAUUUGGGGUCCUACCUGCCUGUGCAAAGCAGACUUGGGGCUUAUCAGGAAGAGAUUUUAGCAUAGAUCCAAGCAAGGCAGUUAAGAAAGAGAUGCUCAAAGAAACAAGAUAACACAACCCAAGCUUGCCAGUCUGAUCUACAGAGUAAGUUCCAGUACAGCCAAGCUUAGGCAAUGAAGGAAACCAUCAAAACAGAAAUCUGAUGAAGGUGUAAUUGAAUAAAAGGACCAUGUCCCAGGCCCAGCAAGCAGAACUUGGCAGCUUUGGUCACAUGGUUAUGGAUUUAGAGUCAAUGAUACAAGAAAGGGAUUAAAGAGUCUCCUUCUAAGGGGUGUCCCUGUGUGGAGACCUGGAGAGGCCAUUACAUGAAGCUGCAAAUGUGGUCUGGAUUGCUUUGGAGACCCCAAGAUGUUGGAGAUGCUGAAGUUAUGGAAUAACCACCAAGGAAAGCAGUUAACCAGUCCAUGAAAAGGAAGGUGUGUUUCAGUCAACAAAACUGAAAGGAGUUGGAUAUAUGAAGAGCAUUUGGACAUCAAACACAGAAAUGAAGAGUUUGGAGUUUGCCCAGUUGAUUUUCAGUCUUGCUUUGGUCCAAUAUUUCCUCACUACAUUAUCUUUCCUUCCUUUUGGUAUGGUAAUGUAUAUCCUGCCUCAGUAUAUGUUGGAUGUAAAUUAUUUUCUUUUUGUAUUUUGAUUUUAUGGGGGAAUUACUCUUAAAGUAUUACCAUGAGUCUCAGAAGAAACUGGACUUUUAAGCAGAGUUGAGACUGUUAUAGACUAUGGGGACUUUUGAAUUUGGACUGAAUGCAUCUCUUCAUUAUCAUAUGGCUAUAAGCCUAUGGGGGACAUGGAGUAAAACAUGAUGCUUUAAGUAAAAAUGGUCCCUAUAGGUUCCUAGGGAAUGCCACUAUUAGGAGUUGUGACUUUAUUGGAGUAGGUGUGGUAUUAUUGGAGGAGGUGUGUCACAGAGGGUGGGCUUUGGGGUCUCAGAUGCUAAGCCAAGCUCUUCCUGAUGUUUGUGGAUUUGGAUACAGAACUCACAUCUACCUCUCCAGCACCAUGUUUGCCUGCAUGCUACCAUACUUCCCACCAUGAAACCUCUGAACUGUAAGCCAACCCCAGUUAAACGCUUUCCUUUAUAUGAGUUGCCGUGGUCAUGCUACCUCUUCAUAGAAAUAGAAACCCUAAGUAAGACACCAUGGGAAUCCUUUGGCCAACUCAACUAAAUGUAACCCAUUCCUGGUAUUGGAAAUUUCAUUUGGUGACAAGAGAUGUCCCGCUGGAGCUCUGCCUCCCUCUUAAUUUAGCCAUUUCAUUUGGAUUGCCUUCAUAUAUGUGUAUAUGUUAUGAAUCUUCUACUGUAUUGUUUCUUUCAGUCCUUCAAAUAGCCCUUAAUUUUAGCUGUCUUUCCCCACUCUUCCCUUAUCCCUCACACUUCGUCCCCCUUCUCCACUGGAUCCUCCAGCUCCAUUCCCCCCACUGCUGUUUGAUCUUCCAAUUCCAGAUAAGUGAAUACAUACCAUAUUUGAUACCACAUUUAUCUUUCUGGGUCUGGGUCACCUCACCAAGAUUAUUUUUUUCCUGUUUCAUCUAUGAUCUCAUUUUUCUUUACAAUGCAUAGUAUUCCACAGUGAAUAUGUGCCACAUUUUCAUUAUCCAUUUAUCAACUGAAGUAUAUUUGGGUUAUAUCCAUUUCCUACCUAAAUAGGCUGAGCAAGUCUCUAUGAAGUACAUCUGGCCUAGAGUUUGGAAUGUAGAUCUGACUGGCCUCAAACUCAAAGAAACCUGCUUGGCUCUGCCUCCUAAGUGCUUAGAUUAAAGGUGUAAGCCCCAUGUCUGGCCAUCUUUUCACUGGUUUAUGGUAUGCAAUACUUUCGAGUAUGGUUUUACUCUGCAUUAAAAAUAUUUUAUAUAAGUAUAUAGAUUUAAAAAUAAUCUAGUGCCAUUCAGACAAAAGCACUUAAUUGUCUUUAUAUAAAAAUUGCAUUUAUAAACCGUGCCAUUGGGCGUGACUACAACAUAUUUUUGCUGAAUAAAUGAAUGAUGCUUUAGUGGGUGUUUGCUAAAGGUUCUGAGAAUAAUAACCCAUAUUCCUUUCUAGGUUUGAUUUCUAAUGGGAGCUAGCUUUGGUUUUUAUUUUGCUUUGUUUUUCUACCCAAGUUUGCUUUGAAUCACCGAAAUGAUUCAUAACACUAAAAACAAGUUGAACCUGAAAUUACCCUGCCGGAAAUGAGUUAAGGAUUAGAGAUCAAGUGAAAGGGAGGGGCUUGAGAGAAAUCAAGAGAACUCUUCUACAUUUGUGGUGAGACAGGAGGAAAUGCCAACAGCAGUUUUUGUUCUCAUUACUCCAAUUACAUUGUUUUAAAUAGUUGAAUCAAAUGCAAAGUACAGAGUAAUUCAGUCUCCAGGAUCCAAAAGGCACUUUUCCCAGGUGUGGCUGGCCUCUCCACUCCACCCCCAGAUGAGUCACUAUACAGAUGAGUCACUAUACAGAGAUUAGAGAGAGAGACCGACCCAUCCUUGACCCCUCCCACACCCAUACACAAAAUCAUUGUAACAGGUGGGGAGAGGUGAAUGGAUGGAUCACCACUGGAGGGGAAGGGACUUUCUCUCAGCCAGCCCUGCUGGAAUCCUUUAACUGGAAAGAGAAAGGGGAACAAGAAUCAGGGAACCUUGGCAAAGGGCUCUGAGUCAGGUAAGGAGGUGAUUUGAAAACAUCCUUAAAGAAAAGCAUGGUCACAGGACCCUGCUAUCAGGGUCUUCUCUGCAAUCCAAGUUUCUGGUGACAUCUGUCACUUCCCUAAGAAGCCCAUGACCUUUUCCUUCCUGUUUCUCUAUGAAUGAUGGCACAUCCGGAAGCUCAUAAAAGUGGCUUAUCUAGGAAAGCAAACAGCUCACUCUGAAAAAAAGAUAAUAGUUCAACAGGAGGGGAGUAGUUCCAGCUUUUGCUGUUAGCUAAAGGAGGGUUCUGGUCCCUGCCCUAUGGUGUGGGUAAGAUGUCCCACCCAUGACCUCAUGUUUUAGAGAGUGAACUCUUCCUACCCUAUGCCACACACUAAGUACUCUUCCUUCUGAAUCUCACUCCAGGUACCCAAGAUUCUUCCUCUCAAAUGACCAUGAACUCUCUUCUGGUUCAGUAUUACAUUUUUAUCUAUCUUCUCUGUGUGCUGCUGGAGUACCUGCUGUAUCUGGUAAGGUAGAGAGGUAACUGCCUGCAGCUAUUGCAGGUGGAUAAAAAUUUACUUGCAAGGCUAGGGUGUCCCUAUAGGUUCCAUAUGCCAUGGGUUCCAUAUGCCUGAAUACAGGAGCCCUUGGGUAGAAGCUGAGUGGCCCCCAGAUGACCACAAAUCCAUGUGCAGCAUUAAAUAAUCCCAAUGUGAAAUCAGACUUUGCCCUUCAGGUGCUGAGAAGGUAUUCUUGUCAGUAGAAGAAGAUAAACUAGGCAUGGGGAUUUGGUAGAGUGCUUGCCUAGUACUCACAAAACUCUGGAUUCCAUCCCCCACACCCCAUAAACUGGGCAAUGUGGAUCAUGCCUAUUCUCCCAACCCUCAGGAAGCUGGCACAAGAGAAUCAGGAGUUCAAGGUUAUCCUUGACUACACAGGAAGUUUGAGCACAGCCUAAGCUGUACGAGACCUGACCUCACCACAGAAAAAGCAGAAUAGGAUGUCUUAGUCAUUGUUCUAUUGCUGUAAGGAGACAACCUUGAUCAAGGCAACUUAUAAAAGCAAGCAUUUAACAGGGGGGCUGACUUACAGUUUCAGAGGGUUAGUUCACUAUCAUCCUGGUAGGGAGCAUGGUGACAACAUGGCACUGGAGCAGUACCUGAAAUCUACAUCUUGAGAGACUGGGACUGCCCACAUUUGAAACUUCAAAGUCCACCCCCAAUGACUCAACUUCUAAUUCUUCUAAUUCUCUCAAGUAGUGAUACUCCCUGGUGAUUAACCAUUCAAACAUAUGAGCCUAUGCGGCCAUUCUUAUAAAAACUACCACAGAGCAGGAGGAGGAAGUAGGGAGGGCCUUGCCAGAGGAAGAGGAGGAGAAGGGAAGAGGGAAAGGAAUAGGGGAGAAAGGCUAUUUUAUUUAACGAUUUGUUAAGUUGGUUUACAGCCUUCAGUCCUAUCAUGUGAGCCUGCUUGUACUUUUGCUUGCUCACUGAAGACAGCAGAAAUGGGUGGACCCACUGCAUGUUUCCAUACAACGAUGCCUAUUUAUGGCUUUCCUAGUAAUUCAAAUUUGGUCGAUACUGGUGGGUUGCCUCUUAUGCCACAUACCAAUUUCUCAGUCUGUCAAAGAGAUUAUUAUGCUUUGCCUACCAACGAAAUAUCUAACUUGGUGUCAAUAAUUCAUGACAAAAGCAGAAAAGGGCUAUAGUUUUUCAUAGAAAAGAAAAUGGAAGUGUCAGGUUAGAUUAUAGCAUUGAAAGUCUCUAGCCUUCUCAUCUGGCUUAAAUUUCUAGCUACUCUUCCCAAGUGUCUUUAACAAAGGACUCUGUGAGGUUCAAUAUUUAGCAAAUUAAUGAGUUUCCUGUAUUUUUGGUUUAUUUUAGAGAAAGCAUUAUCAAAAUAUUUAAACAACUUUAACUCUAUAAAUAUUCUAAUGGAGCUCAAAUUUUACACGAGUCAUUACCAUAGCAACACCUAGGGAUGCUAAGGUAUCAUGCCUGUGGCUCUACAAAUCCUCAGGGAACCAAAUUGACACCAAAGCCUUGUUAAAUGCACCCUGGUGUGGUAUAGAAACCUGUCACACAGUCUGAUAUCAACCCUGUUGAAGGGGUUUUGGUGCCAGGGAACCUCAUUAUCAAAGCCCUAUCUCUGGAGCUGACAAUGAUCACAGAGCAACAACGUGGUGUUAUAUUGUUUAUGAUUUAAUGAAGCUUGUCUGGGGAUCAGAAUGCCACAGCCAUAGAAGGUGGGUAGUGGUGGCACACACCUUUAAUCCCAGGACUCAGGAGACAAAGGCAAAAGAUCUUUGUAAGUUCAAGGCCACCCUGGGCUACAUGAGAGUGAAUCAGUCUAAAAGAGAAACAGAGUUCAUGCCCUUAAUCCCAGCACUAGAGAGAAUAUAAGGAGCUCAGCGAGUCUGAGAUCUGAUGAAGAACAAUGCAGUCUGGAGAUGCAAUCCAGGGUUUGAUGGAUGGCCCCUUCAGUACCAGUGUUGGUAGAGGUAUCAACACACUUGCACCCCUGGCGAUUGUACUCCCCACCCUGACCCUUACCUGCAGUCACUGAUUCUACCAGCACGGACUCUCCUUGUCCUUUGCAGCACUGGCUCCUUGAGAAAAGAUGGCUAUCUGGACAGUGGACUCCAUGUUGUCAUUGGAAUUAAGGCAUCACUUUAUGUUUCUGUUCUGCACAGUUCCACUCAUUUCCUCUGAUUGGCAAGACUGGGGGAUUAUUAUUGCCACUUCAAGAGGCACUGAAGUGUACGUGUCACAUUUGUGCAGGAAUGGUUCCUUGUGAGGCUUCUGCCUGUUCUUGAUGGGUUUCACCACCUUUGGAAAACAAGUAGAGACCAUAAAUGGUUUUUUGGGGGCGGGGGAGGUAGUUGGUUCUUUGGGACAGGGUUUCUCUAUGUAGCCCUGGAACUCACUAUGUAGACCAGGCUAGCCUCAAACUCAGAGAUCUGCCUGGGAUUAAAGGUGUGUACCACUACUGCCUGGUAAUGUUUUUUAAUAGAAUAUCCUUAUUAAUUCCUUGAGAAUUUUAUACAUGCACACAAUAUAUUUUUAUUGUAUGCAACUCCCAUUCUUCCCUCUAACCCCUCCCAGAUACCCUGAGUUUCCCAGGCCCUUUCCUCUCAACUUCACAUCCUUU
Molecule: long non-coding RNA, 6552 nt
Filed under: Cricetulus griseus (Chinese hamster)
Lineage: Eukaryota; Metazoa; Chordata; Mammalia; Rodentia; Cricetidae
Description: lncRNA (ENSCGRG00015038240.1)
Source: RNAcentral